This 73-nucleotide transfer RNA is filed under the name Camelus bactrianus (Bactrian camel). It matches the Rfam family "tRNA". Rfam says of the family: Transfer RNA (tRNA) molecules are approximately 80 nucleotides in length. The record is from Rfam by way of RNAcentral. Lineage: Eukaryota; Metazoa; Chordata; Mammalia; Artiodactyla; Camelidae. RNAcentral also lists the same sequence under 2 other names.
GAGGGUAUAGCUCAAGUGGUGGAGCAGAUGCUUAGCAUGCACGAGGUCCUGGGUUCAAUCCCAAGUGCCUCCA